CCUACGGGAGGCAGCAGUGGGGAAUAUUGGACAAUGGGGGAAACCCUGAUCCAGCGACGCCGCGUGAGUGAAGAAGUAUUUCGGUACGUAAAGCUCUAUCAGCAGGAAAGAAAAUGACGGUACCUGACUAAGAAGCCCCGGCUAACUACGUGCCAGCAGCCGCGGUAAUACGUAGGGGGCAAGCGUUAUCCGGAUUUACUGGGUGGAAAGGGAGCGUAGACGGCAGCGCAAGUCUGGAGUGAAAUGCCGGGGCCCAACCCCGGAACUGCUCUGGAAACGGGGAAGCUGGAGUGCAGGGGAGGGUAGGCGGAUUCCGGGUGGAGCGGUGGAAUGCGUAGAUAACAGGAGGAACACCGGGGGCGGAGGCGGCUUACUGGACUGUAACUGGCGUUGAGGCUCGAAGGCGUGGGGAGCAAACAGGAUUAGAUACCCGUGUAGUC
RNAcentral lists this ribosomal RNA (440 nucleotides) under uncultured bacterium. RNAcentral describes it as "partial 16S ribosomal RNA". It matches the Rfam family "Bacterial small subunit ribosomal RNA", at positions 338 to 795 of the family's 1533-position model. The record is from RNAcentral.